RNAcentral lists this ribosomal RNA (484 nucleotides) under uncultured bacterium. RNAcentral's name for it is "partial 16S ribosomal RNA". It matches the Rfam family "Bacterial small subunit ribosomal RNA", at positions 30 to 507 of the family's 1533-position model. The record is from RNAcentral.
AUUGAACGCUGGCGGCAGGCCUAACACAUGCAAGUCGAGCGGAUGAAGGGAGCUUGCUCCUGGAUUCGGCGGCGGACAGGUGAGUAAUGCCUAGGAAUCUGCCUGGUAGUGGGGGAUAACGUCCGGAAACGGGCGCUAAUACCGCAUACGUCCUGAGGGAGAAAGUGGGGGAUCUUCGGACCUCACGCUAUCAGAUGAGCCUAGGUCGGAUUAGCUAGUUGGUGGGGUAAAGGCCUACCAAGGCGACGAUCCGUAACUGGUCUGAGAGGAUGAUCAGUCACACUGGAACUGAGACACGGUCCAGACUCCUACGGGAGGCAGCAGUGGGGAAUAUUGGACAAUGGGCGAAAGCCUGAUCCAGCCAUGCCGCGUGUGUGAAGAAGGUCUUCGGAUUGUAAAGCACUUUAAGUUGGGAGGAAGGGCAGUAAGUUAAUACCUUGCUGUUUUGACGUUACCAACAGAAUAAGCACCGGCUAACUUCGUG